This 531-nucleotide ribosomal RNA is filed under the name Oeneis philipi. RNAcentral's name for it is "partial 16S rRNA". Lineage: Eukaryota; Metazoa; Arthropoda; Insecta; Lepidoptera; Nymphalidae. The record is from RNAcentral.
CUCAGAUCAUGUAAGAUUUUAAUGAUCGAACAGAUCAAAAUUUUAAACUUUUGCAUUUAAAUUUUAUCUUAAUCCAACAUCGAGGUCGCAAACUUUUUUUUUUAUUUGAACUAAAAAAAAAUAUUACGCUGUUAUCCCUAAGGUAAUUUUUUCUUAUAAUCAUUAUUAAUGGAUCAUUUAAUCAUUUAUUUAUGUUUAAUUUUUAAAAAAAGUUAAUUUAAUUUUUCUAUCACCCCAAUAUAAUAAUUAAUUUUAUUUUAAUAAAAAUUUUUAUAUAAUUUUAAAAUAAAAAUAAAUAUAAAACUCUAUAGGGUCUUCUCGUCUUUUAAAAUUAAUUUAGCUUUUUAACUAAAAAAUAAACUUCUAAAAAUAAAUAAGAGACAGUUUAUAUUUCAUUAAAUCUUUCAUACAAGUUUUCAAUUAAAAAACUAGUGAUUAUGCUACCUUUGUACAGUCAUUAUACUGCAGCCCUUUAAUUAUUAUCAGUGGGCAGAUUAGACCUUAAAUUAUAUUCAAAAAGACAUGUUUUUG